GCAAUGCUGGUUCAGAGGUAGAAUUCUCGCCUUUAAAUUUGGGAGGCCCAGGUUUAUUCCUGGCCAUUGCA
Molecule: transfer RNA, 71 nt
Filed under: Loxodonta africana (African savanna elephant)
Lineage: Eukaryota; Metazoa; Chordata; Mammalia; Proboscidea; Elephantidae
Rfam family: tRNA
About the family: Transfer RNA (tRNA) molecules are approximately 80 nucleotides in length. Their secondary structure includes four short double-helical elements and three loops (D, anti-codon, and T loops). Further hydrogen bonds mediate the characteristic L-shaped molecular structure. tRNAs have two regions of fundamental functional importance: the anti-codon, which is responsible for specific mRNA codon recognition, and the 3' end, to which the tRNAs corresponding amino acid is attached (by aminoacyl-tRNA synthetases). tRNAs cope with the degeneracy of the genetic code in two manners: having more than one tRNA (with a specific anti-codon) for a particular amino acid; and 'wobble' base-pairing, i.e. permitting non-standard base-pairing at the 3rd anti-codon position.
Source: Rfam by way of RNAcentral